GUGUGUGUGUGUGUGUGGGCGUGUUCUGUGCUGUUUAUCAGAGAUGUUUCUUGCUGUCUUUCACAGAUUAAGCAGCCGAGGUCAGCAGCAGUGUUUCUCACAAUCCUUCAGCACACAUCAGGUGGAUGAAAGCACACACACUGAAGCGCAGUGCUUUGGAUUACUGAUCUUCUCUGGGGUUUGGCUACUCACAGAGACACUCGCGGGGCUCAUGAAGACUGAACAGGAUGAAGACGCCGCGCAGGAAGGUGAGACACGUGUCUCCCGGCAUCACGUAUGAUCACGAGUUUCAAUUCUGCCUCAGUUCUUCAUUAAAUACACAAUUAAAGNACUGAGUAUAAUUACACUGGAGCAAGGACACCUUAAAAUAAAGUGAAAGCAGAAGUGGUUUUGAGCGCUGGC
This is a long non-coding RNA of Cyprinus carpio (common carp), 402 nucleotides long. The record is from Ensembl. Lineage: Eukaryota; Metazoa; Chordata; Actinopteri; Cypriniformes; Cyprinidae.